GAUGAACGCUGGCGGCGUGCUUAACACAUGCAAGUCGAGCGAAGCACUUUACUUGGAUUUCUUCGGAAUGAUGAGUUUUGUGACUGAGCGGCGGACGGGUGAGUAACGCGUGGGUAACCUGCCUCAUACAGGGGGAUAGCAGUUAGAAAUGACUGCUAAUACCGCAUAAGACAACAGCACCGCAUGGUGCAGGGGUAAAAACUCCGGUGGUAUGAGAUGGACCCGCGUCUGAUUAGCUAGUUGGGGGGGUAACGGCCUACCAAGGCAACGAUCGAUAACCGGCCUGAGAGGGCGAACGGCCACAGUGGGACUCAGACACGGCCCAAAAUCCUACGGGAUGCAGCAGUGGGGAAUAGUGCACAAUGGGGGAAAACCUGCUGCAGCGACGCCGCGUGAAGGAAGAAGUAUUUCGGUAUGUAAACUUCUAUCAGCAGGGAAGAAAAUGACGGUACCUGACUAAGAAGCCCCGGCUAACUACGUACCAGCAGCCGCAGUAA
Molecule: ribosomal RNA, 497 nt
Filed under: uncultured bacterium
Lineage: Bacteria
Description: partial 16S ribosomal RNA
Rfam family: Bacterial small subunit ribosomal RNA
Source: RNAcentral